RNAcentral lists this ribosomal RNA (226 nucleotides) under uncultured bacterium. RNAcentral describes it as "partial 16S ribosomal RNA". It matches the Rfam family "Bacterial small subunit ribosomal RNA", at positions 103 to 334 of the family's 1533-position model. The record is from RNAcentral.
CGGGUGAGUAAUGUAUGGGGAUCUGCCUGAUGGAGGGGGAUAACUACUGGAAACGGUAGCUAAUACCGCAUAACGUCGCAAGACCAAGAGGGGACCUUCGGGCCUCUUGCCAUCGGAUGUGCCCAGAUGGGAUUAGCUAGUAGGUGGGGUAACGGCUCACCUAGGCGACGAUCCCUAGCUGGUCUGAGAGGAUGACCAGCCACACUGGAACUGAGACACGGUCCAG